UACCCAAGGAAGAAAAAAAAGCGAGGGC
Molecule: small RNA, 28 nt
Filed under: Bombyx mori (domestic silkworm)
Lineage: Eukaryota; Metazoa; Arthropoda; Insecta; Lepidoptera; Bombycidae
Description: ovarian small RNA-6033
Source: RNAcentral